Molecule: ribosomal RNA, 494 nt
Filed under: uncultured bacterium
Lineage: Bacteria
Description: partial 16S ribosomal RNA
Rfam family: Bacterial small subunit ribosomal RNA
Source: RNAcentral
GACGAACGCUGGCGGCGUGCUUAACACAUGCAAGUCGAACGGAAAGGCCUGCUUUCCCUUGUGGAUUGCGGGUACUCGAGUGGCGAACGGGUGAGUAACACGUGAGUGAUCUGCCCCCAACUUGGGUAUAAGCCUGGGAAACUGGGUCUAAUUCCCGAUAGGACUGCAGGGUGGUGCCUGUGGUGGAAAACGAUUUUCUAGUGGUUGGGGAUGAGCUCGCGGCCUAUCAGCUUGUUGGUGGGGUAAUGGCCUACCAAGGCGGCGACGGGUAGCCGGCCUGAGAGGGUGGACGGCCACAUUGGGACUGAGAUACGGCCCAGACUCCUACGGGAGGCAGCAGUGGGGAAUAUUGCACAAUGGGCGGAAGCCUGAUGCAGCGACGCCGCGUGGGGGAUGACGGCCUUCGGGUUGUAAACUCCUUUCGACCGCGAGGAAGCCACCUGGUUGGAAGGGUGGUGACGGUUGUGGUAGAAGAAGCACCGGCUAACUACGUG